CAACUACUCCUCCGUUCCGAAUUACUUGUCGUAGAAAUGGAUGUAUCUAGAACUAAAAAAUGUCUAGAUACAUCCAUUUCUACGACAAGUAAUUCCGAACGGAGGGAGUAUCUG
This is a non-coding RNA of Triticum aestivum (bread wheat), 114 nucleotides long. The record is from Rfam. NCBI's taxonomy places the organism in Eukaryota, Viridiplantae, Streptophyta, Magnoliopsida, Poales, Poaceae.